Molecule: ribosomal RNA, 489 nt
Filed under: uncultured bacterium
Lineage: Bacteria
Description: partial 16S ribosomal RNA
Rfam family: Bacterial small subunit ribosomal RNA
Source: RNAcentral
AUUGAACGCUGGCGGCAUGCUUUACACAUGCAAGUCGGACGGCAGCACAGAGAAGCUUGCUUCUUGGGUGGCGAGUGGCGAACGGGUGAGUAACAUAUCGGAACGUACCGAGCAGUGGGGGAUAACUAAUCGAAAGAUUAGCUAAUACCGCAUAUUUUCUGAGGAAGAAAGCAGUGGACCUUUGGGCCUUGCGCUGUUUGAGCGGCCGAUAUCUGAUUAGCUAGUUGGUGGGGUAAAGGCCUACCAAGGCGACGAUCAGUAGCGGGUCUGAGAGGAUGAUCCGCCACACUGGGACUGAGACACGGCCCAGACGCCUACGGGAGGCAGCAGUGGGGAAUUUUGGACAAUGGGCGCAAGCCUGAUCCAGCCAUGCCGCGUGUCUGAAGAAGGCCUUCGGGUUGUAAAGGACUUUUGUCAGGGAAGAAAAGGGCGGGGUUAAUACCCCUGUCUGAUGACGGUACCUGAAGAAUAAGCACCGGCUAACUACGU